CCUAGAAUGGGGGUGGGGUGGGGUGGGCUGGAGAGAAGAGAGGAGAAGGAGGUGACUGAGGGGACUGCAGCUGGGUGGGCGGUAACCGAGGGGAGGGAAACUGGUGGCGUCCCCAUCUCGCGAGGUCCGGAACGGCGACGCGCCCCCGCCCAGCUGAUUGGAGCCCUUCAGGCCUCCCGCGCCCGACCGGCAGCCCAAUCCUAUAAAGCUUCCUCUAAGCUGGGCCCUCCGCAAACGGGAUCCAGAGAGGAUCUCGCCUUGCUUGCUAAGGAACCAUGACCGGUCGGGACGCGCUUUCCGACGGGCGCAUUAGCAGCAGGGCGCUGGUGCCUGGCGGUUCCCCCAGGGGCUCGCGCCCCCGGGGCUUCGCCAUCACGGACCUGCUGGGCUUGGAGGCCGAGCUGCCGGCGCCCGCCGGCCCGGGACAGGGAUCCGGCUGCGAGGGUCCGGCGGCCGCGCCGUGCCCCGGCCCUGGGCUUGACGGCUCCAGCCUGGCGCGUGGGGCCCUCCCGCUGGGACUCGGCCUCCUCUGUGGCUUCGGCACGCAGCCGCCGGCGGCCGCUCGAGCGCCCUGCCUGCUCCUAGCGGACGUGCAGUUCCUGCCGCCCAGGGAACCCGAGCCCACUGCCCCGCAGGCUCUCAGCCGUCAGCCGCCUGCGCUCGGCCGCCAGAAGCGCAGCGAGAGCGUCUCGACGUCCGAUGAGGACAGCCAGUCUGAAGACAGGAAUGACCUAAAGGCAUCCCCCACCUUGGGCAAGAGGAAGAAGCGGCGGCACAGGACAGUUUUCACUGCUCACCAGCUGGAAGAGCUGGAGAAGGCGUUCAGCGAGGCCCACUACCCUGAUGUGUAUGCCCGAGAAAUGCUGGCUGUGAAAACUGAGCUCCCUGAAGACCGGAUACAGGUCUGGUUUCAAAACCGCAGGGCCAAAUGGCGCAAGCGGGAGAAGCGCUGGGGCGGCAGCAGCGUGAUGGCCGAGUACGGGCUGUACGGGGCCAUGGUGCGCCACUGCAUCCCGCUGCCCGACUCCGUGCUCAACUCCGCCGAGGGCGGCCUGCUGGGCUCCUGCGCGCCCUGGCUCCUGGAGGGUGAGACACUGGGCUGCAGAGAAAUGAAGUGAACCUGCUAAGCCGAUUGUCAAAUGGAUGAGAAAUUCAGAGCCAAGGAUCGGGAAAACACCCUUAAAGAACGAGUGCAAACUUCUGCUCCUGGAGGCUCCCGUUCACUGGACUUUGCAGGAGACACACAGGCUCCCCAAACCCCGCUGUGGUGCCUGAUGACAUUCAGCUGAACCCUGUAAUGCUGCUAAAGUCUGUCCCUCUGGAGAAGUGCUCAGGUAGCAUUGUUCUGCCUCAGCAAGCAUGCCGAUUUUCCUGUGUCAUCCUCGAUGAUCACUGCUACCAGCUUGCACCCCGAUGUGCAAGGAAUUCAACAACCUGGGAGUUGAAAGCAUUGGUCUCCCAAGUUCAGUGUGUUCUUUCCCAUAUCUGUUACCAGCUGAUGAGAAUAAACCUGCAGUCAUGACAGCUAGGUCCAAGUGGUGCAGAAAGCUGCUCUUACAGAAACGCCCCUCCUUAUUAAGAGGCUUUGUCUAUCACUCGGAACUGCUUCUACGAAAGAUUAUCUGUUGAAAGGGAACUGUCCAUACCAGGGCAUUGUUCUGACUUUUCUGGACUUCCUCAACCCAAAAUGCCUUGAAGAAAAAAAAAAAGACACCGAGUGUUAGGGCAGGGUCUCACUCUGUCUCCAGGCUGGAGUGCAGUGGCACGAUCAUAGCUCACCGCAACCUCUAACUCCUGGGCUGAAGUGAUCCUCCCACCUCAGUCUCCUGUGUUGCUAGGAUUACAGCGUGAGCCACUGCCCCAGCUACUCCAAUUUAAGAGUUCCCCCAAGGCUGGCUGCCCUUCUCCUCUCUUUCCAUCAUGAAUGAAACAUGGGCAUCCCCUUCGGCCAGCAUGGCUGACCUGUGCCUGCCCAGGUGCUCAGCUUGGCACCCAUGUGAGUUUGCAGCCUGAAAUUUUAAGUGGAGAAGUUUCUGUGCUUUUCUGCCUUGGUUCCUCUUACUGACCCUGUAAGUCACCAGCCGUAGUCAUCUCCUCUUUAACCCCUGAUCUCAACCCGGGCUUUGAAAUGUGUUUGUUCACAUAAUUGUCUGUUACCCACCCUUCCUGUCAUUGCAGUAUCUGUUGUCUCAUACUGACAUUUUAGGACUUUUUUUCACUUUCUUCUGUUGAAGAUCACCUACUAAAAAGAAGUACUUCCUCCUUUUCAUUCUUUCUUUAUAAGAAUUAAUUUUUAAUUGACAAA
This is an RNA transcript of Nomascus leucogenys (northern white-cheeked gibbon), 2305 nucleotides long. It is a transcript of the gene named visual system homeobox 1, with no coding region annotated. Lineage: Eukaryota; Metazoa; Chordata; Mammalia; Primates; Hylobatidae. The record is from RefSeq and is a predicted model, not a curated record. The transcript has 6 exons.